RNAcentral lists this long non-coding RNA (537 nucleotides) under Malus domestica (apple). RNAcentral's name for it is "long non-coding RNA (MDOM_LNC004855)". The record is from RNAcentral. Lineage: Eukaryota; Viridiplantae; Streptophyta; Magnoliopsida; Rosales; Rosaceae.
CUCUCCCUCCACCAGUGCCGGUAUACAAGAAGCCGGUCCCUCCCCCCGUCCCGGUCUACAAGAAGCCUCACCCUCCGCCCGUCCCAAUCUACAAGAAACCUCUCCCUCCACCUGUCCCAGUCUAUAAGAAGCCUAACCCUCCACCAGUCCCAGUAUACAAGAAACCUUACCCUCCACCAACACCAAUCUACAAGAAACCUCUCCCUCCUCCCGUCCCAGUCUAUAAGAAGCCUAACCCUCCACCAGUCCCAGUAUACAAGAAACCUUGCCCUCCACCAAAACCAAUCUACAAGAAACCUCUCCCUCCACCUGUCCCAAUCUAUAAGAAGCCUCUUCCACCACCAGUUCCAGUAUACAAGAAGCCACUUCCACCACUAGUCCCCAUAUACAAGAAGCCAUUUCCACCACCAGUCCCAAUAUACACAAAGCCACUUCCACCACCAAUCCCAAUAUACAAGAAGCCACUUCCACCACUAGUCCCCAUAUACAAGAAGCCACUUCCACCACUAGUCCCCAUAUACAAGAAGCCAUUUCCAC